Molecule: long non-coding RNA, 1636 nt
Organism: Macadamia integrifolia
Lineage: Eukaryota; Viridiplantae; Streptophyta; Magnoliopsida; Proteales; Proteaceae
Exons: 2
Source: RefSeq, a predicted model, not a curated record
UCGAUCUGAAACGACUCCCUUCAUUUUUAUCCGUUGAUUUGUUAUAGGGCUUCUAUAAAAUUAGGGUUCCAUCGCAUUAGUUUUGUAUCCAUCAUCGUGGUGUUUGAUCUUGAAGUUCGUGUUGACGUCUCUGCGGCUCUGUUGGCUUAGAUCCGUCUCUUUGAAGGGGUCUCCUGGUUUCGUCUCGUUUGAUAAUAACCUCCGUCCUAUCUUCCUUUCUUCCUUUCUUCCUUUCUUCAACAUCUUUCUCUCAACCUUUGCCGAAGUUAGUUUUCUUGAUCCGUUGAUUUUGUAGUUUCUUGAUUUCUGUGAACUGGUAAUGAUCAGAUCGCUAAGGGAUGAAGCGGAUCGAGGUCGAUCUUUGCGGAGGAUCUGUUUGGCGUCGGUGAUGUUUCUCUACUUUAAUUAAUUCCAAGUUUAGAUUUUUUUUCUUCUCUUUUGUGUUUUACGUUCUGCAGGUUUAGCUGUAUGGAGAGAAAUUUGUUGACUAUGAGCGAGCUUCGGAUUUCGUCGAUGGUAGCCGGAGAUCGGGUGAUGAUCUACCAUGGGGACCUAUUCAGACCUUUUUCUUUGAAUCUUUCGAUGUUAGGUGAUUGGUGACGAUUGCUGAUGGUGGAGUCUUUGUGAGGUAUAUUUUCGCUAUGGUGAGACGUUUGUAACGCAGGGUGGAGCUGCGUGAUCUUAUGUUCUCUUCAAGAUCGGCGUAAAGAUAUGGAAUGGAAGAAAAUAUUUAGGUGAGCGGCUGGUGAGGUUAUUGAAAGAUGUAAAAGAGAUCGGUACAAAGCCCUGAAUCAUUCAAAGGGUGUUUGUCCAAUCUUCUUUGUCAUCAGGCCUUUGCCAUGACGGGUGCGCUUGCAUGGCAGGUCAAAAAAGAUAAUAAAAAGUCUUUGUUUGUGUUUUCGGGGAGAUCGCACGUGGUUCUAGCCCGGGAUCUCCCCUUCUUCGUGUCGGCUCUGUUCUCUUUUUCCUCUUGUCCUUGUUCUUAUGUUUCGCCUCUGUUCGGAUCUCCAACUCUCGAUUACGUACGUAAAUCCUGGAUCAAACUGAAGAAUGAGAUCGGUAACACAACAUGAACGACGCCAAGAAGGAAUCGAGAUGGCUAUCCUGAUUUCAAAGUUCUUGUUGUAACUCCUAUGUGGAGUCGGGGCUGGGAUAUGAUGUUAGGGGCCGGAUAUUGCGGAUUAAGAAUUUUUGCACUCUCGUAAUUGUUGCUGUGUAAUUGUGGCAAUUGGAUGUGGUCUUGAAGCUGGACGGAUUUCUGAUCGUGCAGUAGCUUCUCAGUUGUGCCUUUCAUCUGCUACCGAUCUGCGACUGAUGUUGAUGCUGAUACUGAUACUGAAGUUACCUCUGAUGGGCUUGAUUUUGCCCCAGCAGAUGAUGUUGCUGGAGCUGCUGGUUAUCAAUAAUUUCCUUUUUGUGCAGUAGAGCGUUUAUGUUUUGUUGCAACUCAAGACAAGAAGAUAUAAAAUAGGUGAAAAUUAGGAAAAGUUCUCUUCGAGGAUUCGAGUCCUUCCAAUUUUAUCCUAAGAUUAGUCGGCGAUUUUGAGUCAAUUGAUAUCUUUUCUAUGGAUGUUCCUUUUGUUUUUCGGAUUGUGGAAGUUAUUGAAAUUAAGAAGUGAUUUUUUUUUCUUUUUUU